CCUCCCCUCCCAUCCCCCGCCUUCGCCGUUUCCAAAUUUCCGCCUUUUCCCUAAUUUUCCGCUGCUCCAGAAGGACCCGCUUCACCCCGCACCCGCAGUAGGGUGCGCGCAGCCCUCCCUACAUUUCACGGUGUUUUUCCGAAGUUUCGGGCAACCCUUAAAAAGCAGUAAGUUUCCCCUAUUUUUAGGCUUAUUUUGAUUGAGAUUUUUUUUUUGUCUUUUUUUUCCGCGGAGGAGGAAGAUGGGCGAGGGAAGCCCCGCCAGGAGCAUUAAACCCUGCUCCGCGCAGCUCCGCGGGUGCGGAGGGGGGCAGCUCCCCGCGGCGCCGCCAGGGGGCAGCAGCGCUCCGCAGGACACCGCAUCACCCCCCCACCUCCCCGCAUAGUCCCUGUGUCCGUCCGUGUCCCCCCCGCAUUGGGGUUACCAUCGACCGUCUGUCCGUCCGUCCGUCGGUCCGUGCCCCGCUCAGCUCCGCAGUUGCCCCCCAAAAAAUGGAAGUGCCUCCCACGAAAGCAAGACUGGGAAGAAACUGUUCUUCAGAAGUUAUCUGGAGGAAAACACCUUAUAAAACUUGAUCUUUGGCUGCAAUAUUAUUCUUACUUAUUUAUUUUUAAGUUUCCAAAGAAACGUGCACUUUCCUUCUUCUCUAGGAAAAGGUAGCCAUUGCUCUUCUUUAGACUGGACAUUUCUAAUUUGUUCCGUCUGUCAGAAUGGGACUGUGAGACGUUUUUGGUGCAAAUUCAUUAUCUCUGGCAACGCACAACGCAUAGUAGGAACUGAAAAAGACCGUGGCAAUGGAUGAACAAUAGGGCUUCAGUUCAUCAGCAACAAAAGCGUUGGGGAAAUUGGUUGAAUUUCAGAGCACGUCCUCCUCAGCAGAGAGGGCUGGACUAGACCUUGGCCAACCCCCCCACCACCCCCCCCAAAAAACAAACUUGCAGAGCCUCACAUGCAACACUUCACUUUUUAGUCCUGGAAGCGUAGGAAGCAAUAUGGAAAAAGAAGGAGGAAAAAA
RNAcentral lists this long non-coding RNA (1015 nucleotides) under Calidris pugnax (ruff). Its description in RNAcentral is "lncRNA (ENSCPUG00000018925.1)". Lineage: Eukaryota; Metazoa; Chordata; Aves; Charadriiformes; Scolopacidae. The record is from RNAcentral.